CAAAGAAUAUCAAUUCUUACCAACUAUACAUUUGAUGAUUUUUUAUUGUACUGAAAUUGAAAGGCGCAAGAAUCAUAAAUUACAAGAAUUUCGUGGCCUACCCUUCAACUUGUAAAAAUAACGAGGUAGGUAGAGCGAGUAGACUCCAUUUACACACAUGACACAAAACUAAUUUAAUUAAUUUAAUAAUACACGUAACGUCCCACAUAUUCAAGGGGCCGAAAUUACAUAUUUACCCACCUUUCCUUUCCCUCUCAUCCCACCAAAAGUAGAAAAAUAUCCAAACCUACCCAAUGCAAUUUCAAUUGAAUGGUUGUUGUAUCUAAACACUUGGUCUUGGGUCCUCCCUCAGGGGCAUGUCCGUAAUUUUGUAAAAGUAACAGUUCCAAUCAACAAUUACACCAAAAAAAACACGAGGAAGAAAAAGAAAUGCACAGGGAAGGGCAAAUGGGGAUUGAUCGGAAUUGUCCUAAUCCCCGGCGGCGGAGGACGACGGUGACCACGGCGUCAUGUCCAUGGGGUAGCUGCCGAGCACUCUGAGGAAGGAGGUGAACUCCUGCACCUCGGCGAGGGCGUUCUGCGCCCUGACGUCGGCCAUGGAGGCCUCGAAGUCGAUGUAGAACAUGUACUCGAAGUGCUUGGCGGUGCCGACGUUGGCGUCGUCGACGAGGCGGAUCGGGCGGUGGCGGUGUGGCCGCGACUCGAUCUUCGUGAGGCUGAUGUUGCGGAAGGCGAAGGCGGAGAGCACCUUGAAGAGCACGCUCGUCCCCUUCUCGUGCGCGAACACAAUGCUCGUCUUGAACGGCCGGUCGUUGCGCGGAAUGAUCGGCUCGCGCGCCAGCAUCACGAAUCUCGUCACGUUGCCGCUGUCGUCCUGGAUCCCGUCGGCGAGGAUCUGCAUCCCGUAGAGCUCCGCCGCGCGCGCGGAGGCGAUCGCAGCCGUGUCGCGCAGGCCGUUCGUCGCGAUGUACUCGGCGGCGCCGGCGGUGUCGUCUACGGCCUCGCGGACCACAUUUAGCCCUAAUUUGGUGAGCGUGUGCUCGCAUUGGGAGAGCGCCUGCGGAUGGCUGAUAACGCGCGUGAGGUACUCCUUCCUCACGCCGGGGAGCGCGAGGAGGCAGUGGUGGACGGGGAGCUGCACCUCGCCGACGAUGUGGAGGCGGUGGCGGAGGAGGAGAUCGUAGUUCCGGUGGAUCGAGCCGCCGAGCGAGUUCUCCACCGGCAGCACCGCGCGGUCGGCGAGCCAGAGCUCCACGGCCUGGAACGCCACCUCGAAUUGGUCGCAGGGGAUCGCCUCGCAGUUAGGGUACGCUUUCCCGGCGGCGGCCUCGCUGUACGCGCCGGGGACGCCCUGGUACGCGACGCGGAGCUGCGCGCCGUGCAUCGGCGCCGGCGAGAAAUCGGCGAUGCUGAGCGGCUUCCGCAGCGGCGCCGGCGACGAGGAUUGGUCCUUGACGGGGACGAGGUCGAGGGUGGGGUGGCCGUUGACACGGAGACGCCGUCGGCGCCGCUCUUCUGGGUGUCCUGCUGCUGCGAUUCCACUUUGCUGGCGAGUAUGGCGCACGCGCUCUGCCACUCGUAUCGGGCCCGGCCGACCUGGCCCGACCCGAAGCUGAUACCGGUAGCCUGAUUCGUGCUGGAAUUGACGUUGCACUGGAUGGCCCGACGAGCCGGCCCGACCCGCGGCGUCCGGAUUAGGGAUUUGAGGUCUACGCCGGCGGGGGAACUAAGGGAUCGCAUGUUUGGAGAUGAAAAUGGAAUAUUGGGAAAAUUGAGGGGAUGAAAAUGUUAAUAAUAAUAUUAUUAAGUGUUUUUUUGUGAAGCUUGUAGUUCUCUGUGAGAAGGGAACGUCCAAGCUGAGAAAAAUAGUUGGGGAAAAGGGGUUUAUAUAUUGUGCGAGUCUGUCUCAACAUUGGUUUGGUCAAUCCCACACCUACCCCCGUCCAAUUUCUCCAUUUCCCUUUUACUCUUUCCUUUUUAAAAAAAAUAAUAAUAUUAUAAUAGAUGUGAGGUUGGCCCAUUUCUCAUUCCUUCUCCCUUUCUUUUUCUUUUUAGAUCUGGGCCAACUUCAGGGCCCAGAACCGAGCCCAAUCUCUCAUCCCAGCCCAUUCCCUAACCCUAGCCCACUCACACCCCAGAUAUAUUACUCCCCACUUCUCUCUCUUUCACUUUCACUCAGCGCCGCUCUCUCUCCCAAACCCUAAUCCCUCUCUCUCCCUGACUCUCCAUCUCCUCCGCCGCUCCACCGCCCAUCCCCUCGGUUCCUCCAUCUCCAUUACUGCUCCCUACUCCUUACUGCUGUCCAGCUCCUCCCUCUCUCCCUUUAUAUCUCUGAUGCUCUCCCAUGCCGGGAGUACGUAUGGUCAAGGACUGAAAGGCUCUGCUAUUCCUUUGUGGUUAAACUCCUUGAAAAUACGGGAUUCCCUGCGUGGGUGGUGGUAUCACCGGGCUUUCCAGACCAUCGGAGCCCUGUUUGGUGGUUACCUGAGGAGAUCUGAGCCGCCGGAGUCCUGACCUUGGCUCCUGCUGUUGGUGGUUCUGUUGAGAUCUGAGAAGCUGCUCCAUCAUCCAUCCCUGGCCUUUGAUCAUUCAGCUGCCGGAAGGGUUGCUGAGUUUAAGGGGGAAAAUCUGAGCCCCUGUGUCCCGAGGACACCUUUUCCCUCGACUGAAACCCUCCUCUGAUUUCUUAUCUCUUUUCUCUUUCAUUUGUUCCUUUUACUCCUUUUUCUCUUUAUUUGUGCAGAUCUGAAGUACAGGUAAUCGGAGGCAGAGUUGGAGCUGGAGAUUGCAUAUCUGGAACGGAAGAGUGAAGACCUAAAGAAGAAGAAGAAGAAGAAGUGCCUGAGCACGAAGUGAGACGGACCGGAGGUUCGGGAAACAAGAGGAGUAAUCCCGGCAAGGCGAAGAUACCCAACAAUAGAUAAUAUGAAAUUUAUUAAAUAUUCUCACGUUGAGUUGAACUUGUUCAAAAUAUUUCACGUUACGUAGAUUAUGAUCGUUUUCGUCGUUUAUGAAUGUAAUUGGAUAUCCAUCAAAUGAUGAUAACAUUGCUUGUACCGAUAAAGAAUCUUAGAAUUAUAUACUAGUAUUAAUGUGAUUUUUGUACAUGUUAUCCAUUUCUACAUUCUAUUUUUGAGUUGGUAGAUUCCUGUUUCUUUUUGCCCUUGAUAGAUGGCAAAUAAAAUUGAAUGCAGUUUGCUGAAAUCUAUUCCAGAAAGUAAGUGUCAUUUUUGUCAAACAUGGUGUUUGGUGGGCUUUCUUUCCAAAUUACAAGUAAGCUUAGUGGUAAUUUCAUUUCAUAGUAUUUAAGUUGGUAAUUCCAUUUCUUUAAUUAGUAGUAGAUGUUUUAUUGCGAUUUGAUAGUUAGUUCCAAAUUUCAAUGAUUAGUCGGUAAAUCCUGCCUUUUAAGUGCUUAAUCUGACAAUUAGUAGCAUCAUCAAAACGUCAUUGAAACUUAAUAUCACUUUGUCCCUACAAAAUGUUGUUGCCACCAAAUUUUAGACGUACCACAAAUUUUUGAGUUUUUUAAUUACUCAGGUAAUUUUAUUUUUAUUUGGUCGGUAAAAUCAAACUGUUAAAAAAAAUCGAGCUGCACGCGCACAUAACUCUGUGUAUAUAAAUAAGCGUCAAAUGAGUAUUAGUGUAUUACUAGUUGAUUUUGUAUUUUUUUAUAGUUGAUUUUCUUAAAACUAUUUAUGUUCACAUGCCAAAACAACAUUUCAAUGUAUGUACCAUUUAGAUUAAAGGGUCAUUAAUAAAAACAUACGCGCGUUUUGUUUCAAAGAUAAUUUUCUUUACAAAUUCUUUCAAAAUUUUGCUGUAUAUAUAAUAUGAAAUCAAAAAUAGAUUAAGCAUUAAUGUAAACCAGAUAUUACCAUAUUCAACAGCCAAUUAGGGUAAUGUUCAUUUUAUCAUUGCACGAAAAAAACAAACGCGCGUUUUGUUGUCAAAGAGAUUUUCCUUUACAAUUCUCUAUGCAAAUUAUUUUCAAAAUUUUGUUAUAGAUUAAAUAUAUAAUGAAGUCAAAAAUAGAUUAAGCAUUAAUGCAAAUAUGAUAUUACAAUAUUCAAUAACCAAUUAGGGUUAAGGGUAAUAUAUUUCGCUAACUUCGUUCACACAGAAUUAAAAUGCUGCUAGCUUGGUUUACCUUAUAAUGGAGUUUCCUUGAAAAUAAACUAUAUAUAUAUAUGUAUUUAUAUAUAUAUAUAUAUGCACAGGGCCGAUCCUGUAUCUCAUAGGACCCUAAGCAAAAAUUAGAAAAUGAGCCAUUAUAAUUUUCUUUUAUAUUGAUAAUACAACAAUAGUAUAUUAACAUAAACUUUUUCAGCCAAUUAUUUAAAAGAGUUUUCAAUCAAAAAAGAGAAGAAAAUAUAAGGUACUAAGAAUUCAACUCUAAUGAUAUGAUCUAAAUGACGAAAAGAACUUUUAUAAGACAAAAGCUAUGUAAAUAAAUACCUUAUUGUUAAGCAAAAAUAAUUUAUAUAUAUAUAUAUAUAUAUAUAUAUAUAUAANUAAUUAUAUAUAUAUAUAUAUAUAUAUAUAUAUAUAUAAAAUGGGCCCCCAAAAUUUGGGACCCUAUGCGGCAGCAUGUUGAGCAUGUGUUCAGAUACGGGUAUACGGACAAACACAUUGUAAAAUGGGAUUCAAUUUCUUGAAUCAUUGGACAUGUAGUUUUACGUCGAAGUAUGAAUACGUACAAGUUAUUUCUUCCACUAAUUACUCUUCUUUAAUUUCUUUAUUUCACAUUUUUGUUCAAAAUAUGUCGCUUAUUUCCUCCAAAGCCCUAAUUAAGUUCUAAAAUUUCCCAUCACAUAUCGAGUUUUGUCGAUUUUGUUAUGUUUCAUCAGAUCAAUUUGUUUUUUCGUUUUUCUUCUUAAUUCAAGAUCUCAAAUUCAUUUAAUUCUAAAUAUGAAGCUUAUUUUCUACCUAAAUUAUUUCUUGAAGAUUGUUCUACCUUUUGGGCAAUGCUGAUUGCUGAAGUAUUUACGUAUGUUAAGAUAACCCAAGUUUUGAAAAUUUAACAAUAGUCUUACCUCAGGAUAUUGGAACUUAGUGUGAACAUAAUAAGGAUUUGAUAUUAGUUACCUAACAAUUAUUGGUUGGUACAAGUAAGUUAAAAAUGUCAACAUAAGCAAAAUAAAUUUAUGUAUAAGUAACAGCCAAUUGCCCAAAACCUGCAGGAGACGGUCAAAUAUUAAAUGUUAGUAGUUACAUUCAUUUUUACUUAAUGCUAUAUAUUUAUAAAUGUAAUACCAUUAAUUUAAAUCUAGCAAUAAAUUUAAUAAACUUUUAAAUCUAGCAAUAAAUUUAAUGAACUUUUAAAUCUAGCAAUAUUCAUCACCAUACCGAAUUAUAAGAUUAUCCAAAUAAUAUUUUAUAAUUUAUAGCAGCAUAAAAAAUAGUUAAUUAGUGAGAUGAAGUUAUUUGAAAUAUAAAUUAUUAGAGAGGUGGUCUUGGGUACACCC
RNAcentral lists this long non-coding RNA (5465 nucleotides) under Salvia miltiorrhiza (redroot sage). RNAcentral describes it as "long non-coding RNA (SMIL_LNC005454)". The record is from RNAcentral. Lineage: Eukaryota; Viridiplantae; Streptophyta; Magnoliopsida; Lamiales; Lamiaceae.